CAGCCGAAUAAUACAGAUUGUGGAGUGUUUGUUUGCAAGUAUACUGAGGCAAUUGUCUUUAACAAAAGAAUAGAUCUGCAGAGAAAUCCUGAAAUGUACAGGACAUGGCUUUUUCAAGAAAU
Molecule: long non-coding RNA, 122 nt
Organism: Amphimedon queenslandica
Lineage: Eukaryota; Metazoa; Porifera; Demospongiae; Haplosclerida; Niphatidae
Exons: 3
Source: RefSeq, a predicted model, not a curated record